ACAGGUGCUGCAUGGCUGUCGUCAGCUCGUGUCGUGAGAUGUUCGGGUUAAGUCCCGCAACGAGCGCAACCCUUGUCAUUAGUUGCUACGAAAGGGCACUCUAAUGAGACUGCCGGUGACAAACCGGAGGAAGGUGGGGAUGACGUCAAGUCCUCAUGGCCCUUAUGGGUAGGGCUUCACACGUCAUACAAUGGUCGGGACAGAGGGUCGCCAACCCGCAGGGGGAGCCAAUCCCACAAACCCGAUCGUAGUCCGGAUUGCAGUCUGCAACUCGACUGCAUGAAGUCGGAAUCGCUAGUAAUCGCGGAUCAGCAUGUCGCGGUGAAUACGUUCCCGGGUCUU
RNAcentral lists this ribosomal RNA (342 nucleotides) under uncultured Achromobacter sp. Its description in RNAcentral is "bacterial SSU rRNA". It matches the Rfam family "Bacterial small subunit ribosomal RNA", at positions 1034 to 1382 of the family's 1533-position model. Lineage: Bacteria; Pseudomonadati; Pseudomonadota; Betaproteobacteria; Burkholderiales; Alcaligenaceae. The record is from RNAcentral.